CUUGUUCUAGGGAGCACUCACUAGCUGGAGUAGGUCUUCCCAUAACACGAAAGAAUAAUUAGCAGAGUGAGAUUGAGCCAUGCCAUUGGACCACCUGGGGAGGAGGUUAUGUGGAGAGAUUUGCUGCAUUUCUAAAGAAUCUCAGAAAACAAGCUUCAUUUCAGAACCUAAACCAGCAUUUGCUUUUCUUCACUUUGAGGGAGCACACAGGAUACUGAUCUAGCUGGACAUCAACCUAAGGCUCCUGAGACGGAAGUGAGGGAGUACAGAAGUCAAAGGCUUAUUUUUGG
This is a long non-coding RNA of Balaenoptera musculus (blue whale), 290 nucleotides long. RefSeq lists it as uncharacterized. The record is from RefSeq and is a predicted model, not a curated record. The transcript is spliced from 3 exons. NCBI's taxonomy places the organism in Eukaryota, Metazoa, Chordata, Mammalia, Artiodactyla, Balaenopteridae.